CAGCCGCCGCGGGAAAACGUAGGUGGCAAGCGUUGUCCGGAUUUAUUGGGCGUAAAGCGAGCGCAGGCGGUUUCUUAAGUCUGAUGUGAAAGCCCCCGGCUCAACCGGGGAGGGUCAUUGGAAACUGGGAGACUUGAGUCCAGAAGAGGAGAGUGGAAUUCCAUGUGUAGCGGUGAAAUGCGUAGAUAUAUGGAGGAACACCAGUGGCGAAGGCGGCUCUCUGGUCUGUAACUGACGCUGAGGCUCGAAAGCGUGGGGAGCGAACAGGAUUAGAUACCCCGGUAGUCCCUGUCUCUUAUAC
RNAcentral lists this ribosomal RNA (301 nucleotides) under uncultured bacterium. RNAcentral's name for it is "partial 16S ribosomal RNA". It matches the Rfam family "Bacterial small subunit ribosomal RNA", at positions 509 to 807 of the family's 1533-position model. The record is from RNAcentral.